Molecule: ribosomal RNA, 465 nt
Filed under: Vreelandella stevensii
Lineage: Bacteria; Pseudomonadati; Pseudomonadota; Gammaproteobacteria; Oceanospirillales; Halomonadaceae
Description: partial 16S ribosomal RNA
Rfam family: Bacterial small subunit ribosomal RNA
Source: RNAcentral
CCUACGGGGGGCAGCAGUGGGGAAUAUUGGACAAUGGGCGAAAGCCUGAUCCAGCCAUGCCGCGUGUGUGAAGAAGGCCUUCGGGUUGUAAAGCACUUUCAGUGGGGAAGAAAGCCUUGGGGCUAAUACCCUCGAGGAAGGACAUCACCCACAGAAGAAGCACCGGCUAACUCCGUGCCAGCAGCCGCGGUAAUACGGAGGGUGCGAGCGUUAAUCGGAAUUACUGGGCGUAAAGCGCGCGUAGGCGGUCUGAUAAGCCGGUUGUGAAAGCCCCGGGCUCAACCUGGGAACGGCAUCCGGAACUGUCAGGCUAGAGUGCAGGAGAGGAAGGUAGAAUUCCCGGUGUAGCGGUGAAAUGCGUAGAGAUCGGGAGGAAUACCAGUGGCGAAGGCGGCCUUCUGGACUGACACUGACGCUGAGGUGCGAAAGCGUGGGUAGCAAACAGGAUUAGAAACCCUAGUAGUC